CAGCCGUAAACUAUGCUCGCUAGGUGUCAGGGACGGUGCGACCGUUUCUGGUGCCGCAGGGAAGCCGUGAAGCGAGCCACCUGGGAAGUACGGUCGCAAGGCUGAAACUUAAAGGAAUUGGCGGGGGAGCACUACAACGGGUGGAGCCUGCGGUUUAAUUGGACUCAACGCCGGAAAACUUACCGGGACCGACAGCAACAUGAAGGCCAAGCUGAAGACUUUGCCGGAUUAGCUGAGAGGUGGUGCAUGGCGUAGUCGUGU
RNAcentral lists this ribosomal RNA (261 nucleotides) under uncultured archaeon. Its description in RNAcentral is "partial 16S ribosomal RNA". It matches the Rfam family "Archaeal small subunit ribosomal RNA", at positions 748 to 1009 of the family's 1478-position model. The record is from RNAcentral.